UACGUAGGGUGCAAGCGUUGUUCGGAAUUAUUGGGCGUAAAGAGCUCGUAGGCGGUCUGUUGCGUCGGCUGUGAAAACCCGGGGCUCAACCCCGGGCCUGCAGCCGAUACGGGCAGACUAGAGUUCGGCAGGGGAGACUGGAAUUCCUGGUGUAGCGGUGAAAUGCGCAGAUAUCAGAGGAACACCGGUGGCGAAGGCGGGUCUCUGGGCCGAUACUGACGCUGAGGAGCGAAAGCGUGGGGAGCAAACAGG
RNAcentral lists this ribosomal RNA (252 nucleotides) under uncultured bacterium. RNAcentral describes it as "partial 16S ribosomal RNA". It matches the Rfam family "Bacterial small subunit ribosomal RNA", at positions 524 to 776 of the family's 1533-position model. The record is from RNAcentral.